CCUGGGAUUAGAUACCCCACUAUGCUUUGCCCUAACAUUGAUAGUUUUAUACAACCACUAUCCGCCUGGGAACUACGAGCAAUAGCUUAAAACCCAAAGGACUUGGCGGUGCUUUAGACCCACCUAGAGGAGCCUGUUCUAAAACCGAUAACCCCCGUUCAACCUCACCUUUCCUUGUUCUCCCCGCCUAUAUACCGCCGUCGCCAGCUUACCCUAUGAAGGCCCUUUAGUAAGCACAAUUGGUACAGCCCAAAACGUCAGGUCGAGGUGUAGCGUAUGGAAAGGGAAGAAAUGGGCUACAUUUCCUGUUACAGUGAAAUUUACGGAUAAUACCACUGAAACGUGUAUCUAGAAGGAGGAUUUAGCAGUAAGCAGAAAAUAGAGCGUUCUGCUGAAACUGGCUCUGAAGCGCGCACACACCGCCCGUCACCCCUCA
Molecule: ribosomal RNA, 436 nt
Rfam family: Bacterial small subunit ribosomal RNA